CUGAUGGCCGCGUUCGGGUCAAUUGCGGACUGCAACACCCGGUCUCACUCCCGGUGUCGCCCGCGAUGGCGACGCCGUCGGAGGGGGAGCGUGUCACCGUCAG
Molecule: non-coding RNA, 103 nt
Filed under: unclassified sequences
Description: L4-Archaeoglobi ribosomal protein leader
Rfam family: L4-Archaeoglobi ribosomal protein leades
Source: RNAcentral